Molecule: long non-coding RNA, 5515 nt
Organism: Macaca fascicularis (crab-eating macaque)
Lineage: Eukaryota; Metazoa; Chordata; Mammalia; Primates; Cercopithecidae
Source: Ensembl
AUGGGGAGGAGAGAAGGGAUGGGGUCAGAGGGUUUGAGCCGGUGGCUGGAUUCCAGAGGUCUUGGAAGGCCGAGGGGAAGACUUUGGCUCCGGGACUGUGCCUUGGGAGGUCCGUGGAGUUCUUGGAGCCUGGGCUGCUUACAGGGAGGGAACCAGAGGGGGUCCCAGUGGAGGGGAUGCAGAGCCAGGGAGGAGGUGACGGUGCUGGGUCGGGGAGCGAGCCGACUGGCUGGGAAGGCCCAAGCUGGACAUUGCCUGGAUUUUGAAGAUGCCCUAGAUCUGUUGUGGGUGUUCAUGUGGGUGUGGGGGACACAGCCACGGGCCUGUGCUUCUGGGAAGGCCGGCCGGCCGCCCGCUUCCCCUUUCUCUCCAGAUUCCUUUGAUCCGCGGGUUCUCCGCCGCACCUCGGCUCCCGGGCUGCCCGGGUCGGCCCGCGGGGAUCCUGGAAACGGUCCCCAGCUUAUCUCCUUUCAUCAAGCGGCCUUGGGCCGCCUUGAAACCGCGGAGCCAGUAAUUGCUUUUUUCAGGAGGCCCAGUGCGGACUGGACAACAGCCAAUCAGCGCCUUGUUUACACUCGGUGAUGGACAGUCCGCUGGCGGAGUGCCAACCAAUCCCAGCGGUCCCGCGGGAACGGGAGUGGGGGCGGGGAAACAGAGAGACAGCAGGCUUUGAGUUUAACUCUUUCGUGUCCCUGCUGGAAUGAGACGGUGGAGAAUUUCGAAUGCGUGUGAAUCUGUCAUUUGGCUUCUAGUUUAAAUAUCCUUUUUUCCCCCAGAGGGGGAGGCAGAGAUUCACAGGGAGAAAGAGGAGCAAAAAUAAAUGUAUCCAUCGCCACUAAGACAUCACCUCGACUCCCUGAGAAUAAAUAGCAUUUGGGUGGGAAACCAAAUUCUAACAGAAAUAUUUGUUUGCAGAAUAUUUUAGAAGUGGUUUGCAUCUGAUUACGAUAAAAAUUGUUCAGUAGCUUGCUUUAGUUGGAGUGAGGAUUUAGCAGAUAUGCAGACAGGGAGCAGCAUUGAGAAAUACUAUACAUGGUUUACCACACCAUAUCCCCUUCCCCCCUUAUCGAGCUGAAAAUAUUUUUUAAAUCUAGGUGUAGAUGAAGAAAGGGCAAUCCUUGUCUUCUCAAUAAAUCCCUGAUUUUCAUUUUAGUAGUUGCUCUGUUGCAAAGUGUGGCAGAGGGAGAUAAAAUUGAGAGCCACUAAUGUAGACGGCUGGAGACUCAGAACUCACUUCCCAGGGUCUGAUCCCCAGGUCAGGGGGAGGAGAGGGCCGGGCGGGCUAUUCAAAGCUUGUACUGCCCAAGCAGCGGACGUACGUGGAUCUGUGAGCUCGGGUCCGGGCAGGCAGCAGCCUCAGAGCGGUAGAUGGGCCAGGCAACCUGGGGAGGCCUCUGGGCUUGGAGGUCUGGCCUACCUGCCACCUGCCAGACAGAUCGCAGGGAGAAAAAGUAGCUACUUUUAAGGGGUGGUGGUAUUUCUUCCUUUGGCCUUCUGUGCGGCAGAAGCCAAACGUUAGACCUGCUGGAUUAAACAUAUAUGUGUGUGUGUGUGUCUGUGUCUGUGUAUACGCCUCCCCCUCCGCCGGGACACGCGCACUCGCUGGUUCCAGCUCCCUCUCCUGCCCUGCGCCACCACAUUCCCAUUCAGCAGCAAUGAUCUGCGCAGAGGAGCUGCGCAGUCGCCGGGCUUGAAUUAGGCGCCAUCGGGCUUGGUAGUAGCCCCGCUGCUUCCUGAUUGGCAGCUCCCUGGCCCGGCGCCAGCCUAUUGGGAGGCCUGUUUACGCCGAAUGAGUGGCACGAGCUCCCGGCCGCGGAGGGCUGCGCGGCCAAUCAGCGCGCUGGCUGCUCCGGGCUGAGUGGCACGAGCUUAUUAGUAUGCAGGGCCCGUGGCUCGCGGCGCCAGGCUGCAGGUUUGAGAGCCGCUCUGGAUGGGCUCGCUAGAGUCGUUGUUGUGGAAGCGGUGCAUUUACAGUGCAACAGUCAGCACAUUGAAAAUACCAAUAGGAAUACAAAACAAAGUCACAUUUACUGAUUUAAUUGUAUUGCAUUCAGUUGUAUCCAGGAAACAGCCUCCAGUAAGUAACUGAAAUUGCUUUCAUUUUUUUUUGUUUUUGUAUUUUUAUUAUUAUUUUUUAUUCUGGCUUUGGGGUUUUACAUUUUUUUUUUUUUUUUAGCAAAAGAAAUUCAGGGUUGUGAUGUUAAGAAAUAUAUACCUUCCCUUUUAACAAAAUCCGUUAAAAUGUCGAAGCUUUUUUUUCUUAAAAAAUAUGGACUAUAUAAGCGAUUUUUUUCUCUGAAAAAUCUUAUCGAUCGGUUUAAAAUUCCCCCCGUAAUGCGUCCUUGCUUUGCUCUGAACGCUUGUUGUCCCGAUCGACACCCAGCAUUAAAAAUAAAUACUCGAGACAGGGCAGGGACCGCCAGGCUGCGUCUGGCGCGAGCCGCGCGGGUGGCACCGGGCGGACAGUCGGCGAAGUCCGGGCGCCGCCAGCGUGCUCCCAGCUUUGGGUGACCCACGAACGAACCCCUACUAUUCGCUCCCCUACCCUGCUCCCCUCCCCGGAGCAGUCCUGAGUUGGCCCCGCCCGGUCGGUCCGCGGCUAGGGGAACCGGCCGGCUCGUGGUACCCACGGCCGCUGCCCUGAAGGGCCUUCCGGGCCGAAGCUAGGGGCCGGGGAGGGAAACGGUCAUGGCGAGUUUUUCGGUCUUCGUUCCCAUUUCAGAAUUUUUUUUUCGGAGAAGGGGUGGAGGAGGGGGGCCGAGCGAGGCUGGCGCAGCGGGGCGUUAUCACCGUGCGUUCGGGACAGCGCGCGGGGCUCGGGUCACGGCCCGUGUGGCGGGGCCCGCGGGCUGGUUUUCCUCAGGCGCGCGGGUCAGGCGCGACCCUAGUUCUCAUGACUCUCCUCGGGAGCGGGUGCGGCUGUUUCGCAGGGAGCGGGUUCUGCGGCGGCGGCCGAGCCACUAGCGCCCCGGGCGCGCCAGGUCCCAGCCCGGCCUGCAGGCCCCACCGCGCCCGCGCUCCCGGAGACGGCGCCGGAGGGAGGCAGACGGGUCGGAGUCCGGGUCUCCGACAGGCGGGCGAGGAGAGAGCGGGUUUUUAGAUGCAAAAGCAGAAAACAAAGCAAACCUGUAGAAGCCCCAGAUCCUGGAGCGCGCCAGCCACGCCUGGGGCCGCGGGAAGAGGGACCCGCGGCUCCGGGGUCACGCCCUGCCUUCCCGGGAAGGAGCCCUGUGCUCCGAGGUUCAGCUCCUCCCGAAAUGCCCUCGUCAGCGAUUCUCCGCCCGCCCGGGGUCCUCUGCCCGCCAUCACUUUUCGCUCCGUUUCCUCCCUUAGCUCAGCCUGACCUGGCGCUGCGGCGCCGUCCUCGCGGUCCUCCUGCGCGGCCUCUCCUGGAGCUGGGCUGGGGUGGGCCCCGGGCCUCGGCACUUGGCGGGUGGCGGCGUCGCGGCUGCGGGACUGUGGGGCUCCCAGCCCGGGCCUUGUGGCCGCCCUUCCUCGCCCCGCUUCCUGGCCUCCUCGGGCUCCCCAGGCCCCGAAGCCCGGCGCUGGCAGACGCGGAGGCGCGGCGCGGCCUCUCCCCGGGAGGAGAGAACACAAAGAAAAGCCCCCUCCAAUCCGGUCAGAGCCGUGGCGGCGCAGGCGGGCGACAGUAAUCCGCCUCAAUCGGGCCUGCGAUCCGCCCGCAGGGGGUGCGAGAUUAAAAUUGCUGCUUCGUAGCCGAGCCCGCGUCCCGAGAAUCGCCAGCAGCUCACGCUUUCUCAACUUUGAAAUUUCUCAUUGGAAAAAAAAAAACAACCACAAAACAAAAGCACAGCACACACGACUCCCCGGAGGCCUCCAGGAAGCCUGGCACCCCCGCGUGCGCCGCCCCCAGCCCUUCUCCGGCCCUCGGCGCCUUUGAAGCUGCAGGUUUCUGACCUCCCUCUCUUUCCUUCUUUCCCUUUGUCCCGCCCGGCGCCCUCCGGAGCUCGGGAGGCACCGGCCGGUGCUGGGGCCCCCACGUCCCUGGUCCUGCCUGGGCAGCCCUCCCUGACCCCAGCGCUCGCAGCCCCCUCGCCAGAGUACUCUCCGGGCCCUGGCGGCCGGGCACUCGCUUUGCAGGCCGGGCUCGGAGCUUGGGACACGCCGAGCUGUUUGUUAGACCGGGGGAGAGAGCUGGCGAUCCCCAGAGGGAAGGGAGCCCCAAACGCCUUUGUAUGUAGUUACCAGACAAAGAGAACUCUUUGUGUAGACCCAUUUAUUUACAAUGCAAAAGCUCUCCGAAUAAAUAUUAAAAAAGCUUAUCAGCAGAGCAAAUAUGUAUUCACUUAAUACAUUAUGUUUUCGGUUAUAGAUUAAAUCAGACACAAAAUAGUCUGCAAAUAACACGUUUUAGAACCGGGAGCAUAAAAUAUCGCAAUUUAAAAAGGUAUUCAGGAGAUGGAAAACAUCUUAAUCGCUUUGUUGUCAUGGUGGGAUGGCUACAAAAACACAAGGUUUUCUGCAAAGUUCCUAAUUAAGAAUAUCAAGCCUAUCCAUCUCCCUUUUGUUGGAGGCGAUAAACAUUAAAAACAAUACGUAUUUAGGAGAUGAGGAGGAAUAUGUGAAGUGCGGCCGGGGAGCGCCUUUGGAGGAACGCCUGGGAGCAAGGUGGUGCACGUAGCUUCUAUCACUGGCUCCGAUCCUCCGCACCCAGAGUCUGAAAUUGUCCCCAAUUUCGCCUGAGUGGAUGUUCUGCGUUGGGUGGGGGUGAAAGAAAAUGGAGGUGAGGGUCAUUUUAGGUGGCCCCGCCGGAGGUCCGGGCGGGGUCUGCUGGCAGUAGGUUGUGCUGGGCCGGGCCCACCUUCCCCGGCUGGAGGGCCGAACUGGGCGCCGCAGACCCCGCGUACCCAGGCCGCCCCGCCAUGCCGAGACCGGCCUCUGCUCGCGGUCCCCGGCAGGCGCUGAAGGAAGAAAUCCUAGGGCCGAUUUGGGCCGUUGAGAGAGCAGCAUUCUGACUCUGAAAGCAUCCCCCCCACCCCCAAGCCCCCAAUCCGCAGAGGAAGAUCCUGGGCGAAUUUGAUUGGGGGGCGGGGUGAUUGUUACAGCCUCAACAGGAAGCUCCCGGCUCCGGGACAGCAGGCCGGGCACUGCGGCGUGGCGGCCCAGGUGAUGCCGGUGGCGGUUGCGGGGCGCCCGGGGCUCUGAGGAGCCGGCCUGGGGUCCUGGAGCGAUUCUGGGGACAGGAGCUGGUCCCGCUGGGGCUGGGGAGGGAGGACGACAGCGGAUUCAGAAGAAUGGGCCGAAAGAUGCAUGGGGGGGAUGGGAGUGGGGGAAAAGGAAGGUUAUUAAAAAAAAAAAAAAACUCUUGAGUUACAAUCAAUAAAAUUACUCGCUUAAUUAGCAUGGUUAUUCGGUUAAGCGGAAUGCAGUAAAAGCUGGAUCUCGGCGUGAGGUGGGGAGAGAGAGUGAGCGAGCGUGGACCCCAGGCCUUUUCCUCCGAGACACCUUUGGGCAGCGGGGGAGGGGAGAGGGUGUGCGUGUGAGUGUGUGUGUG